This 424-nucleotide ribosomal RNA is filed under the name Acidobacteriota bacterium. RNAcentral's name for it is "Acidobacteria bacterium partial 16S ribosomal RNA". It matches the Rfam family "Bacterial small subunit ribosomal RNA", at positions 355 to 776 of the family's 1533-position model. The record is from RNAcentral. Lineage: Bacteria; Pseudomonadati; Acidobacteriota.
UGAGGAAUAUUGGUCAAUGGGCGCAGGCCUGAACCAGCCAAGUAGCGUGAAGGAUGACUGCCCUAUGGGUUGUAAACUUCUUUUAUAUGGGAAUAAAGUUUUCCACGUGUGGAAUUUUGUAUGUACCAUAUGAAUAAGGAUCGGCUAACUCCGUGCCAGCAGCCGCGGUAAUACGGAGGAUCCGAGCGUUAUCCGGAUUUAUUGGGUUUAAAGGGAGCGUAGGUGGACAGUUAAGUCAGUUGUGAAAGUUUGCGGCUCAACCGUAAAAUUGCAGUUGAUACUGGCUGUCUUGAGUACAGUAGAGGUGGGCGGAAUUCGUGGUGUAGCGGUGAAAUGCUUAGAUAUCACGAAGAACUCCGAUUGCGAAGGCAGCUCACUGGACUGCAACUGACACUGAUGCUCGAAAGUGCGGGUAUCAAACAGG